This is a long non-coding RNA of Hirundo rustica (Barn swallow), 628 nucleotides long. RefSeq lists it as uncharacterized. The record is from RefSeq and is a predicted model, not a curated record. Lineage: Eukaryota; Metazoa; Chordata; Aves; Passeriformes; Hirundinidae. The transcript has 3 exons.
GAGAGUGAGGUGGAGUUGUUGGAACUAGCAGGUUGUUAUGUGAGAAGGAGGAGUCAGUGUUGUGUGGUGCUUGUCGUGGGAUUGCAACAGAGAAAAGUUGCUGUUAUAGACUUUGAAUACUCAAAUGGCACUGAUCUUCCUUCACCUUGGCCCCUCAGAGAGACCUGUUUGUGAAUAGGACUUCUGCCUGAAGUGACUAGUGAGCUGUGCCGAGGCUUUGAGGUAUCAUAUAUCUUCUGGUGUUGUGGAAGGUACAGAACUGUUAGGACAAUUUCAUUUUACCAAACGGUGAGCUGAAAGAUGGUGAAAGGAACAUGAACCCCCUGUCAACCCACCCUACGCUGUGGGUAAUUAAUCUGGGAGUUGUGGUGCAGAAAGGUAAUUUUCCCAGUGAAAAACGUAGAAGCAGCAGCCUGCGGCAGCCAUCUUGGCCUUUACGAGAGUCCUGUGCAGAAGAGCAACUUGUUACGCUUUGAUAAAGGCUCUCCGUUCUCUUGGGAAAGGUGCAUACCAGAGAAAUUACUACUGCCAUAAACACCUCGUGUGCAUGUUUUUCCUUUGCCUCCCAGAAUGCUGGGAGGCAGCGUGUCUGAGUGAAUGCCUGGUAGAAACUCUGCUCUAACAAACA